CACAACUUUGGCUCGGCAACGCUGCCACUGUGAGCGUUCGACUGAUAGAGCAAGCGGGAGCUGUGUUUGAGGUCUGGCAACAAUCGCAUCCCAACAGCUGAGAGCAUGGCGCAUGGCUGAGAACCAAUAUAACUUGCGCCGGCAUUUGUCCGCUGCUCUUUGUUUACUAGUGUUUCAUUGGUGACUGACGUUGCGGUUGUUAAUCGCGGUUAUGAUGGGUGAUUUCGUCCUUGUGCGUAUGGUGACCGAGCCUGAAUGACUUCUGAGGCCACAGAUGGAACGGCCGAUGGGCAGCUUUGUUUACCUUCAAGACCGAGUGGUGCUGUGAGUUUGCUGAAGGCAACAACAAGACAGGAAAUAUGGGAUGUGGGCUUUGGAAGGACCAGCUGAUGAAAAAAUCAACGCCUGUGCUGCAUAGUAAGGCUUCUGGCAGACCUGAAAGCAUAGAUAGAUAUGGUGCCUGCCUGUUGGAAUUGCACCAGCUCGCUUCCCUGAAAGAAGCUAGGUGCUCAAGAAGUACUUGACUAACCUACCCGCAUUGUUAUUGUGACAGUCUGCAUCCCCAUUUGGCCUAUUUUUGGAUCCCACAAGACACGCUGCUACCCUGGGUUUUGUAUCUCGGUCAAUUGCUGAAGUUCUGCAAGCCCCAUUGAAGCCAACCUGUCAUCCGCAUCCAAUGGAAGAAACUCAUGCAUUGUUCUGGCCGUCAUAAUUUAUCUUAAGCUUAAGCUAGAAGCAUGGUAGAAACAGCAUCUAUUCUACAAGAAUUUACCACUGCAUGCCGUCGGGUGGCUACACCCGACAGGCUACUGUCUUGAACAGAUAUGGUGUUUUAUUCUAGAAUAUAUUUGUCAGCAGUACUACACCUUCUGUUUAUAUCCUUGGAAACAAACAAGCCAAGACACCAAAGACAACAUAGGAGAAAUUACUUGUACCUACUAAUUGAAUUAAAGAAAUGAUAAAUUAAUGGCAAUGAAAGUGGUUGAGAAAACUUGCCAUAGGCGUGCGAUGCUCUAACCAAUGGAGCUACCGCGGCACCGUUUUCCCAUCCACAUUCUUGUGUAUUUAUAUUUUACUACUAGAACUAACUACUACUACUACUGCUACUACUAUUAGAACUACAUCAUUUCCCACCUGCGCCAAGUUUUUUUUUCAUCCACUGUCAUUGCCUAUAAUUUAUCAU
Dermacentor andersoni is the source of this 1183-nucleotide long non-coding RNA. RefSeq lists it as uncharacterized. NCBI's taxonomy places the organism in Eukaryota, Metazoa, Arthropoda, Arachnida, Ixodida, Ixodidae. The record is from RefSeq and is a predicted model, not a curated record.